CAAUAGCGUAUAUUAAAGUUGUUGCAGUUAAAAGCUCGUAGUUGAAUUUCUGAUCAAUUUUAGUUUCGGCUUCGGCCGGGCUAAGGUUGGUCAUCCGUCUGCAAGCUAUUCUCGGCCUUCAUUGGUUCGGAUUAGCGAGCUGACAUUUUACUUUGAAAAAUUAGAGUGUUUCAGGCAGGCUUUUGCCCGAUACAUUAGCAUGGAAUAAUGGAAUUGGACUUUGAUCCAUUUGGUUGGUUAUUGGAUCUAAGUAAUGGUUAAUAGGGACAGUUGGGGGCAUUAGUAUUUAAUUGUCAGAGGUGAAAUUCUUGGAUUUAUUAAAGACUAACUUAUGCGAAAGCAUUUGCCAAGGAUGUUUUCAUUAAUCAAGAACGAAAGUUAGGGGAUCAAAGAUGAUCAGAUACCA
RNAcentral lists this ribosomal RNA (406 nucleotides) under uncultured eukaryote. RNAcentral describes it as "SSU rRNA". It matches the Rfam family "Eukaryotic small subunit ribosomal RNA", at positions 592 to 1017 of the family's 1831-position model. The record is from RNAcentral.